CCAAUAGCGUAUAUUAAAGUUGUUGCGGUUAAAAAGCUCGUAGUUGAAUUUCGGGGUUAGUAGGUUGGUCAUGCCUCUGGUAUGUACUGGUCUCACUGAUUCCUCCUUCCUGAUGAACCGUAAUGCCAUUAAUUUGGUGUUGCGGGGAAUUUGGACUGUUACUUUGAAAAAAUUAGAGUGCUUAAGGCAAGCUAACGCUUGAAUACAUUAGCAUGGAAUAAUGAAAUAGGACGUUCGAUCCUAUUUUGUUGGUUUCUAGGAUUGACGUAAUGAUUAAUAGGGAUAGUUGGGGGCGUUAGUAUUCAAUUGUCAGAGUCGAAAUUCUUGGAUUUAUUGAAGACUAACUACUGCGAAAGCAUUUGCCAAGGAUGUUUUCAUUAAUCAAGAACGAAAGUAAGGGGAUCGAAGACGAUCAGAUACCGUCGUAGUCUUAACCAUAAACUAUGCCGACUAGGGAUCGGAUGAUGUUAAUUUUUUAAUGACUCAUUCGGCGCCUUACG
This 500-nucleotide unclassified non-coding RNA is filed under the name uncultured Glomus. RNAcentral describes it as "SSU rRNA". It matches the Rfam family "Eukaryotic small subunit ribosomal RNA", at positions 591 to 1092 of the family's 1831-position model. Lineage: Eukaryota; Fungi; Glomeromycota; Glomeromycetes; Glomerales; Glomeraceae. The record is from RNAcentral.